This 71-nucleotide transfer RNA is filed under the name Lachnospiraceae bacterium. Its description in RNAcentral is "tRNA-Gly". It matches the Rfam family "tRNA". Rfam says of the family: Transfer RNA (tRNA) molecules are approximately 80 nucleotides in length. Their secondary structure includes four short double-helical elements and three loops (D, anti-codon, and T loops). The record is from RNAcentral. Lineage: Bacteria; Bacillati; Bacillota; Clostridia; Lachnospirales; Lachnospiraceae.
GCAGAUGUAGUUUAAUGGUAGAACAUAAGCUUCCCAAGCUUAGGGCGCGGGUUCGAUUCCCGUCAUCUGCU